CAGUUGAAUGGUUUCUAUAUUAAGGAAUAAGGUACUGAUAAUAAAGGAAAGAAUGCAGGGUGUACCUGCCAAAGUGGAAAAUGUUAAAAAUGAGGACAAACCAGUUUGGAAAAUAAAAAGUUAUCUCCAGUCAGAGUCACUGGCCACAGAGAGAAGCGAAGGAUAUCUAGAAAGAAUAUCGUAGAAGUGAUCUUUUUUCUUUAUUUUUAGAAAACGGAUUUUAAUCUGUUCCUCCUGUAAACUGGGUGAAAGGGAAUAACUAUUCGCUCAGCAGGAAAACGUCAGAUGGAUGCCAGAUCACAGUCAGUGGCUGUUGGAAUAGCAAUAGCAUUCUGCAUCCUUGGGGUGUUUGUGCUGGUCUGUGUGUUACAGAUUUGCUGGAAGAAUCUCAAGAGGCGCUGCAAGAAGAAGCGGCCUUCAGCAAAAGAUAAAAUCCUGAAGAAAUUAGGUACUAAGAAAACAUCGCCUCCUUUCUCCAUCAGUGGGAUUAUAGACAAGAAAUGACGGCACACAGUCAAGACAUCAGAAUAUGGACUUCACUCAUUUUCUCUGAUAUGUGAAAAGUUGUAUUUAUAUAUUUGUAAAAUGAUUAAUUCUUCUUUUAGUUCUCUAUUACAUCACACCUAAUAGAUGGGGAUGGUUUAUGAUUCAUAACUUAGGUGGAAGUGCAAUGUAAUAUUUAUAACUCUCAAACCAAAACCCAAAAGGUCAAAUUACAGCUAAAUGUGAUGGUAUUCUGAUUCAUUUGAAAUCUUUAGAUGUUUUUCACAUUCUUUUGCCAUAAAAUAAGAGCUGAA
Pygocentrus nattereri (red-bellied piranha) is the source of this 797-nucleotide long non-coding RNA. RefSeq lists it as uncharacterized. NCBI's taxonomy places the organism in Eukaryota, Metazoa, Chordata, Actinopteri, Characiformes, Serrasalmidae. The transcript has 4 exons. The record is from RefSeq and is a predicted model, not a curated record.